Molecule: transfer RNA, 95 nt
Filed under: Candidatus Cloacimonadota bacterium
Lineage: Bacteria; Pseudomonadati; Candidatus Cloacimonadota
Description: tRNA-Sec
Rfam family: Selenocysteine transfer RNA
Source: RNAcentral
GGGGGUGGGUGUCAGCCGGUGCUGGCCCGGCGCUUCAAACGCCGUGCGGCCGUCCAGGACGGUCGGGUGGGUUCGACUCCCAUGCACCCUCGCCA